Molecule: ribosomal RNA, 253 nt
Filed under: uncultured prokaryote
Description: partial 16S ribosomal RNA
Rfam family: Bacterial small subunit ribosomal RNA
Source: RNAcentral
UACGAAGGGGGCUAGCGUUGUUCGGAAUCACUGGGCGUAAAGCGCACGUAGGCGGAUCUUUAAGUCAGGGGUGAAAUCCCGAGGCUCAACCUCGGAACUGCCUUUGAUACUGGGGAUCUCGAGUCCGGGAGAAGUGAGUGGAACUGCGAGUGUAGAGGUGAAAUUCGUAGAUAUUCGGAAGAACACCAGUGGCGAAGGCGACUUACUGGACACAUAUUGACGCUGAGGUGCGCAAGCGUGGGGAGCAAACAGG